UUAUCCGGAUUUAUUGGGUUUAAAGGGAGCGUAGGUGGACAGUUAAGUCAGUUGUGAAAGUUUGCGGCUCAACCGUAAAAUUGCAGUUGAUACUGGCUGUCUUGAGUACAGUAGAGGUGGGCGGAAUUCGUGGUGUAGCGGUGAAAUGCUUAGAUAUCACGAAGAACUCCGAUUGCGAAGGCAGCUCACUGGACUGCAACUGACACUGAUGCUCGAAAGUGUGGGUAUCAAACAGGAUUAGAUACCCUGGUAGUCCACACAGUAAACGAUGAAUACUCGCUGUUUGCGAUAUACAGUAAGCGGCCAAGCGAAAGCAUUAAGUAUUCCACCUGGGGAGUACGGCCGCAAGGUUGAAACUCAAAGGAAUUGACGGGGGCCCGCACCAGCAGUGGAGUAUGUGGUUUAAUUCGAUGAUACGCGAGGAACCUUACCCGGGCU
This 438-nucleotide ribosomal RNA is filed under the name uncultured Bacteroidaceae bacterium. RNAcentral describes it as "bacterial SSU rRNA". It matches the Rfam family "Bacterial small subunit ribosomal RNA", at positions 541 to 981 of the family's 1533-position model. The record is from RNAcentral. Lineage: Bacteria; Pseudomonadati; Bacteroidota; Bacteroidia; Bacteroidales; Bacteroidaceae.